CUUUCAUGGGGAGGUUUGUCUAAUUUCUGAAAAUGGCAAACUAUAUGGAAAGGCAAUUAAAGAAAAUGGUCUAUACAGAUUGAUAGACAUAUACAAUGAUAGUGAGGAAGAUAAUGACGAUGCUAUAAAUUGUAUUUCGAAUAAGCUGUUGCAUGAUUUUUGCAUCCAUUAUUAUCACAGAAUUUUUGGGCAUUGUUCNUUCUCCAGAGUAAAACAUAUGGCUAAACUAUCUAAUAUUGAACUUAAACCUUGUGACAAAUAUCUAGAAUGUAGAGUUUGUGCAGAAACCAAGGUAAAAGCAUUUCCUAUAGCCAAAUACAGUGAUAGGAGAUCAACGAAACCUUUUCAGCUAGUCCAUACAGAUGUUGCUGGUCCAUUCAGCCCAAGUCAGGGAGGCCAUAAAUGGAUUAUGGUAAUUAUUGAUGAUUAUAGCAGAUUUACAUACACAUAUUUACGUAAGUCAAAGGUUCAGGUGUAUGAUAAAAUGAAGGACUGGCUGAACAUGAUUUCUACACAAUUUGGUUGUACAGUGCAGAAGGUACAAUCUGAUAGAGGAGAAAUGAUGUGUAAGGCUGUAGCAGAUUUGUUUAGAACAUGUGGCAUUAUACAUAGAAAGACCAAUCUGUACUGUUCAGCUGAAAAUGGUGUAGCUGAACGACAAAUUGGAUUAAUUCAAGAAAUGUACAAGGCCAUGUUGUCUGAUGCUAAAAUGCCCGAUUAUUUCUGGGGAGAAGCAGUAGCUAGUAGCACUUAUGUUUUGAAUCGAAUAUAUUCUUUUACUGUUGGUAAUACUCCAUAUUUUAUGUUAUAUGGUAAAGAACCUGAUGUAAAGCACAUGAGGAUCUUUGGCUCACAUGCUCAUGUACUGAUACCCGGGGCACAAAGAAAAAAGAGAGACAAAAUUUCACAGAGGUUACGUUUUGUUGGGUAUGAAGAAAAUACAAAGGGGUAUCGUUUCUCUCUGAGCUAUGGUAAAGUAGUGGUGUCUAGGAGUGCAAACUUUGCGAUUCACUCAGAUUGGGCUAAUAUACAUGUUAAUAGUGAUGUUUUCUAUUACAUAUGGGGAAAAGAAGGGACUGAUGCUAACGUUACAGGUAGGAANGUGCCUGAAUACAAAAGAAAGUGGAAAGCUUAUCGCAGUUCCACAUCUUUUUCCAGUGCCACAUCUUCCUCCUCUAGUAGCACAGAGACUGAGUCCAGCUCAGAAGAUAAACCUUCUACUUCUUCACAAGCUCAAUCCACUACUGUAGUUAAGAAAGAGUUAGUGCCAAGGAGAUCUGAACGUACAACUAAGGGAAUUCCUCCAGAAAGACUUCAGAUUGGUCAAAUAAGUAAUGUAGAUAGUCAGGAGCAAUGGUCUCAGCCAAAUAGUUACAAAGAGGUAAUGACCAGACCAGAAGAAGAAAAACAAGAAUGGAUACAAGCUAUGAAAAAGGAAUUUGAUUCUCUAUUGAACCUGAAUAUUUUCACUGAGGUGUCUGCAGACACAGAUAAGAAACCCAUAGGGUGUAGAUGGGUAUUUAAACGUAAAACAUUACCUGAUGGUAGAUAUUUAUCUACCUGAUGGUUAGAAUUUUGCAGGGCAGGGGGUCCACACCGCUUCUAGAAUAGCAGAGUGUAGCACGAUAUAGCAGAGUAAUUGCAGCCAAAUCUUCCCAGGUAAACCGACACCAGCAGAUUGUUCGUUGUAGCGGCGAAGUAAGGAGACGGACAAGAGAAACUUUCCAGCACCAGUGAAAGUUUAUCUACAGUAUUCCACACCAGCAUACAAAACGAUAUAUACAAGCGACAUAGAAUC
This is a long non-coding RNA of Salvator merianae (Argentine black and white tegu), 1798 nucleotides long. The record is from Ensembl. Lineage: Eukaryota; Metazoa; Chordata; Lepidosauria; Squamata; Teiidae.